This is a long non-coding RNA of Ictalurus punctatus (channel catfish), 929 nucleotides long. The record is from Ensembl. Lineage: Eukaryota; Metazoa; Chordata; Actinopteri; Siluriformes; Ictaluridae.
CGUAAAUAUUGCCAUGUAUUUCACUACAGAAUGGGCCCAUACACAAAAUAUACCAUCAUGUAAAGCUCAAUAGCAUUUGAAGGGAAUGACUUACAGUCACACAACCAACUGUAAAGUGUUCAUCUAGGUGUCAGAGGACGAGUCUGCGGUUGUUGUCUAAUUUCCACGAUAAUUUGGCGUCUCCUGGGUGGGCUGCACGAGUCUUUUCAGCUUUUCUGGACAACAAGUAAACCAGAGGACGUGCGUGGAAAAGUUGCACCCUGAAGACCGUGUUGACAUGCAGGCUGUUUGCGCUUUAUUGUGCAGCGCGAAAGACCGAUACAGCCUUACCACUGACUGAAGGGAAGACAAAACUGUAAGUCCUACCAAAUUGCUGUAUGUGGAUUCGCCCUCACAGGUAAACUCUUUUAUAUUCUUAAGGUUUGCUCUAUUGAACUUAUAAGUUAUAUGAUUAAUUGAAUAUCUAGACAUUUGGCACACAUUUUGAACCUUUUCUGUCCGUGCAUGAGAAUGCAUAUUCACUUGAUUUUCAUAGUAUGUUAAAUUGAUUAAAACUUUGAAAGUUAUAGAAGGUGUAAAAAGAUAAAUAAAUAAAAUAUGGGAAAAACAUGUAGCAAAUCACAUCCUGAGACACAUGCUAUGGUAUGUACAGGGUGCUCAUCUGUUGAUCCUAAUAUCACAAUUAUGCGUGUGAAUUAUGGGGAAGAAUGUUUGAACCAAUAUGAUGUAUGGGUUAAAGAAUGUGCUUUCCUAGAAAAAGGUAGUUUUAGUCUCAGACAGUUAGAACAACAGAAAUUUAAUUUUGAGACAAAGGAGAGAGAGAGAUUCUUAAAAUAAAAAAAGAGCGAAGUGCAGUUUUUAGCAGACUGGAAGGCAUUUGCUGAAUGGCAGAGUGAGGCACAUAAAAGGGAGAAAAAAUGUCAGGCAGG